Molecule: ribosomal RNA, 465 nt
Filed under: Vreelandella stevensii
Lineage: Bacteria; Pseudomonadati; Pseudomonadota; Gammaproteobacteria; Oceanospirillales; Halomonadaceae
Description: partial 16S ribosomal RNA
Rfam family: Bacterial small subunit ribosomal RNA
Source: RNAcentral
CCUACGGGUGGCAGCAGUGGGGAAUAUUGGACAAUGGGGGGAACCCUGAUCCAGCCAUGCCGCGUGUGUGAAGAAGGCCCUCGGGUUGUAAAGCACUUUCAGUGAGGAAGAACGCCUGGUGGUUAAUACCCAUCAGGAAAGACAUCACUCACAGAAGAAGCACCGGCUAACUCCGUGCCAGCAGCCGCGGUAAUACGGAGGGUGCGAGCGUUAAUCGGAAUUACUGGGCGUAAAGCGCGCGUAGGUGGCUUGAUAAGCCGGUUGUGAAAGCCCCGGGCUCAACCUGGGAACGGCAUCCGGAACUGUCAAGCUAGAGUGCAGGAGAGGAAGGUAGAAUUCCCGGUGUAGCGGUGAAAUGCGUAGAGAUCGGGAGGAAUACCAGUGGCGAAGGCGGCCUUCUGGACUGACACUGACACUGAGGUACGAAAGCGUGGGUAGCAAACAGGAUUAGAUACCCCUGUAGUC